RNAcentral lists this ribosomal RNA (490 nucleotides) under uncultured bacterium. RNAcentral describes it as "partial 16S ribosomal RNA". It matches the Rfam family "Bacterial small subunit ribosomal RNA", at positions 29 to 507 of the family's 1533-position model. The record is from RNAcentral.
AGUGAACGCUGGCGGUAGGCCUAACACAUGCAAGUCGAACGGCAGCACAGUAAGAGCUUGCUCUUACGGGUGGCGAGUGGCGGACGGGUGAGGAAUACAUCGGAAUCUACUUUUUCGUGGGGGAUAACGUAGGGAAACUUACGCUAAUACCGCAUACGACCUACGGGUGAAAGCAGGGGAUCUUCGGACCUUGCGCGAUUGAAUGAGCCGAUGUCGGAUUAGCUAGUUGGGGGUAAAGGCCCACCAAGGCGACGAUCCGUAGCUGGUCUGAGAGGAUGAUCAGCCACACUGGAACUGAGACACGGUCCAGACUCCUACGGGAGGCAGCAGUGGGGAAUAUUGGACAAUGGGCGCAAGCCUGAUCCAGCCAUACCGCGUGGGUGAAGAAGGCCUUCGGGUUGUAAAGCCCUUUUGUUGGGAAAGAAAAGCAGCAGGUUAAUACCCCGCUGUUCUGACGGUACCCAAAGAAUAAGCACCGGCUAACUUCGUG